CAGUAGCCGCGGGAAAACGAAGGGUUCAAGCGUUAAUCGGAAUUACUUGGCGUAAAGCGCGCGUAGGUGGUUCAUUAAGUUGGAUGUGAAAGCCCUGGGCUCAACCUGGGAACUGCAUCCAAAACUGGUGAGCUAGAGUACGGUAGAGGGUAGUGGAAUUUCCUGUGUAGCGGUGAAAUGCGUAGAUAUAGGAAGGAACACCAGUGGCGAAGGCGACUACCUGGACUGAUACUGACACUGAGGUGCGAAAGCGUGGGGAGCAAACAGGAUUAGAUACCCCAGUAGUCCCUGUCUCUUAUAU
Molecule: ribosomal RNA, 301 nt
Filed under: uncultured bacterium
Lineage: Bacteria
Description: partial 16S ribosomal RNA
Rfam family: Bacterial small subunit ribosomal RNA
Source: RNAcentral